GACGAACGCUGGCGGCGCGCUUAGCACAUGCAAGUCGAACGGAAAGUCCCUGCUUUUGUUUGGUUCUCUAGUGUCGAACGGGUGUGUAACCCGUUAGUAUCCUUCCCUUGACUUUGGUAUAUCUUCAGGUAACUUGUUCUAAUACCUGAUUUGAUCUCCUGCUUCUUGGUGGUGCUUGUAAAUUUUCGGCGGUUGGGGAUGGACUGGCGGCUUAUCAGCUUGUUGGUUGGGUAGUGGCUUACAAAGGCUUUGACGGGUAGCCGGCCUGAGAGGGUGACCGGGGACAUUGGGACUGAGAAAGGGAACAGACAAAUAAGGGAGGAAGGAGAGGGGAAUAUUGCACAAUGGGAGGAAGCCAGAUGAAGAAACGGAGGGAGCGGGAUGAAGGACUUCGGGUUGUAAACAGAAUUGGCCUGUGACGAAGAGUGAGUGACGGUAAUGGGUAAAGAAGCACCGGCUAACUACGUG
Molecule: ribosomal RNA, 468 nt
Filed under: uncultured bacterium
Lineage: Bacteria
Description: partial 16S ribosomal RNA
Rfam family: Bacterial small subunit ribosomal RNA
Source: RNAcentral